This 255-nucleotide ribosomal RNA is filed under the name uncultured bacterium. RNAcentral describes it as "partial 16S ribosomal RNA". It matches the Rfam family "Bacterial small subunit ribosomal RNA", at positions 524 to 776 of the family's 1533-position model. The record is from RNAcentral.
UACGAGAGGCCCAAACGUUAUUCGGAAUUACUGGGCUUAAAGAGUUCGUAGGCGGCAUUGCAAGUAGGGUGUGAAAGCCCUCGGCUCAACCGAGGAAUUGCGCUCUAAACUGCAGUGCGUUGAGGAACCUAGAGGUGAGCAGAACAGAUGGUGGAGCGGUGAAAUGCGUUGAUAUCAUCUGGAAUACCGGAGGCGAAGGCGGCUCACUGGGAGUUUUCUGACGCUGAGGAACGGAAAGCCAGGGUAGCGAACGGG